RNAcentral lists this ribosomal RNA (420 nucleotides) under Fusobacteriota bacterium. RNAcentral describes it as "Fusobacteria bacterium partial 16S ribosomal RNA". It matches the Rfam family "Bacterial small subunit ribosomal RNA", at positions 355 to 776 of the family's 1533-position model. Lineage: Bacteria; Fusobacteriati; Fusobacteriota. The record is from RNAcentral.
UGGGGGAUAUUGCACAAUGGGAGAAAGCCUGCUGCAGCGACGCCGCGUGGGGGAUGAAGGCCUUCGGGUUGUAAACUUCUUUUGCUCUGAACAAGGCAUGCUUUUGGGGUGUGUUGAGUGUAGGGGUUGAUUAGCGCCGGCUAACUACGUGCCAGCAGCCGCGGUAAUACGUAGGGCGCGAGCGUUGUCCGGAAUUAUUGGGCGUAAAGGGCUUGUAGGUGGCUGGUUGCGUCUGUCGUGAAAGCUCAUGGCUUAACUGUGGGUUUGCGGUGGGUACGGGCUGGCUUGAGUGCAGUAGGGGAGGCUGGAAUUCCUGGUGUAGCGGUGGAAUGCGCAGAUAUCAGGAGGAAUACCGGUGGCGAAGGCGGGUCUCUGGGCUGUUACUGACGCUGAGGAGCGAAAGCGUGGGGAGCGAACAGG